RNAcentral lists this ribosomal RNA (465 nucleotides) under uncultured bacterium. RNAcentral's name for it is "bacterial SSU rRNA". It matches the Rfam family "Bacterial small subunit ribosomal RNA", at positions 339 to 796 of the family's 1533-position model. The record is from RNAcentral.
CUACGGGAGGCAGCAGUGGGGAAUUUUGGACAAUGGGCGAAAGCCUGAUCCAGCCAUGCCGCGUGAGUGAAGAAGGCCUUCGGGUUGUAAAGCUCUUUCAGGUGGAAAGAAAUCACCGCCCCGAAUACGGGUGGUGGAUGACGGUACCAUCAGAAGAAGCACCGGCUAACUACGUGCCAGCAGCCGCGGUAAUACGUAGGGUGCGAGCGUUAAUCGGAAUUACUGGGCGUAAAGCGUGCGCAGGCGGUUGUGUAAGACAGGUGUGAAAUCCCCGGGCUUAACCUGGGAACUGCGCUUGUGACUGCACAGCUAGAGUACGGCAGAGGGGGGUGGAAUUCCACGUGUAGCAGUGAAAUGCAUAGAGAUGUGGAGGAACACCGAUGGCGAAGGCAGCCCCCUGGGCCUGUACUGACGCUCAUGCACGAAAGCGUGGGGAACAAACAGGAUUAGAAACCCCUGUAGUCC